This 400-nucleotide ribosomal RNA is filed under the name uncultured bacterium. RNAcentral describes it as "partial 16S ribosomal RNA". It matches the Rfam family "Bacterial small subunit ribosomal RNA", at positions 338 to 735 of the family's 1533-position model. The record is from RNAcentral.
CCUACGGGCGGCAGCAGUGAGGAAUAUUGGUCAAUGGACGCAAGUCUGAACCAGCCAUGCCGCGUGCAGGAAGACGGCUCUAUGAGUUGUAAACUUCUUUUGUACGGGGAUAAACGCAGGUACGCGUACCGGUCUGAAAGUAUCUUACGAAUAAGGAUCGGCUAACUCCGUGCCAGCAGCCGCGGUAAUACGGAGGAUUCAAGCGUUAUCCGGAUUUAUUGGGGUUAAAGGGUGCGUAGGCGGUCGGUUAAGUUAGAGGUGAAAUCCCGAGGCUCAACCUCGGACUUGCCGUUGAUACUGUCAGGCUCGAGAGUAGUAGAGGUAGGCGGAAUGCAUGGUGUAGCGGUGAAAUGCUUAGAGAUCAUGCAGAACACCGAUUGCGAAGGCAGCUUGCCAGGCU